GACGAACGCUGGCGGCGUGCUUAACACAUGCAAGUCGAACGGUAAGGCCCUUCGGGGUACACGAGUGGCGAACGGGUGAGUAACACGUGGUGAUCUGCCCUGCACUUCGGGAUAAGCCUGGGAAACUGGGUCUAAUACCGGAUAGGACUCCGGACUGCAUGGUCUGGGGUGGAAAGCUUUUGCGGUGUGGGAUGGGCCCGCGGCCUAUCAGCUUGUUGGUGGGGUGAUGGCCUACCAGGGCGACGACGGGUAGCCGGCCUGAGAGGGUGACCGGCAACACUGGGACUGAGAUACGGCCCAGACUCCUACGGGAGGCAGCAGUGGGGAAUAUUGCACAAUGGGCGCAAGCCUGAUGCAGCGACGCCGCGUGAGGGAUGACGGCCUUCGGGUUGUAAACCUCUUUCAGCAUCGACGAAGCGAAAGUGACGGUAGGUGCAGAAGAAGGACCGGCCAACUACGUGCCAGCAGCCGCAGUAA
RNAcentral lists this ribosomal RNA (477 nucleotides) under uncultured bacterium. Its description in RNAcentral is "partial 16S ribosomal RNA". It matches the Rfam family "Bacterial small subunit ribosomal RNA", at positions 28 to 523 of the family's 1533-position model. The record is from RNAcentral.